AAGAUAUAAAAUCGACAGACAUUAGCCAGUAAACAUUCAAGUGCCAUUUUAUUAAACAUUCAUGAAGAAUAACCAUGUCACAUGCAAAAAAAAUCAGCAGAACUGUCAGAUUUUCAAAGAGGUCAUACUGUUGGGUUAACUGAAGCUGCUCUUAGCCAGCAAAAAAUUGCCGAAAAUCUUCAAAUUCCUCUUACUACUGUUAAAAGAAUUAUAGUGCAAUUCAAAGCCAAGAAAAAGAAUCAACAGCUUCUCAUCCUGGCUGACCUGGGCCCUCAGAAAGAAAGCUUCGCUGUUUGAAGAGAAUUGUGGAAAAUGAACCCCAUUCGAAGGCUUCUGACAUUGCAAAACAGCUAGAAGUUAGUCCAAGAACAUGUGUUACAUACCUGCAUAAGCUUGGGUGUUAUGGACAAGCAGCUAGAAGAAAACCUCUCCUUCAACCAAUUAAUAUCA
Octopus sinensis (East Asian common octopus) is the source of this 450-nucleotide long non-coding RNA. RefSeq lists it as uncharacterized. NCBI's taxonomy places the organism in Eukaryota, Metazoa, Mollusca, Cephalopoda, Octopoda, Octopodidae. The record is from RefSeq and is a predicted model, not a curated record. The transcript is spliced from 2 exons.